Molecule: small RNA, 3366 nt
Filed under: Pongo abelii (Sumatran orangutan)
Lineage: Eukaryota; Metazoa; Chordata; Mammalia; Primates; Hominidae
Description: processed transcript
Source: RNAcentral
UUCUCCUAGGCCUAGCUGUGUAAAAUCCAAUUUUAGCACAAACCCUGUAAAACCAGUUUAGCAAGAACUCUUCCGCAUUCUAGAUCAUUCCCAGGUGAUGUCUGAUCACCCUGGCCUGUCUUCAGCAAGAAUCCUGUUAGGGUUUAGCCAGAAUCUUCCUUACUCUGGAUGUUAUUUUUUAGUAAUUUCACAUCCACUGAAUGGGAUGAAAGCAAACCCACCUUGCUCCUUGGCUAUACUUGCCCUUGCUGUUUCCCUACUGUCUCCCCCUCACUGAGUUGAACCCAGUCUCUCUCCCCAACUGCAACAUCACGUUGCUGUGGUCCCUAUAUCUAUUGAGAUGAUCCUGAAUAACGUCUACCUUACCAUGCUUUAACAAGUAUCACUGAGUAAUUUUUUAUUUAACAGUUAUGGUGCUGUGACUCCGAUAGGAUCAGAUUCAUCAUUGGACCCCCAGACCUCUCACCCAGGACCCCAAGUGUGCACCUUUGAAGCCAUUGUCUUCACUCCUGACUGAUAGAUCGGGGAUCCAAUGGUGAGUCAGACUAAUGAACCAUUGCUCCGGACAAACAUCCGUUGAAGCUGGAUUCUGAACACAAGCAGUUUGCUCUGUGACUGCCAUUUGAAGUGGCUACUUCAAUGGUUGGUUGAUAAUAACUUUCAACAUUCUGUGAAUGUAAGCUGUGCACACCCUGAAUGGCUAGCAGGGCAAAGCAUCCUGAAUGUGGAUCUGAAAGAUUUUGUCUGUGAUGAUUUCCUCAAGCCACAGAUAAGGACACAUCCUGAAACCAUAAUUGCUCUAAGAGGCAUGAAUGUGACUCUGACGUGCACUGCAGUGAGCAGCAGUGAUUCACCUAUGUCCACUGUGUGGCGCAAAGACAGUGAAAUCCUGUAUGACGUGGAUAUUGAGAAUUUUGUUCGUUAUCGGCAGCAAGCUGGAGAAGCUCUGGAAUAUACUAGUAUCUUACAUCUUUUCAACGUGAAUUUCACAGAUGAAGGAAAAUAUCAGUGUAUUGUUACUAAUCACUUUGGUUCUAAUUAUUCUCAGAAAGCCAAACUGACUGUAAAUGAGAUGCCAUCUUUUCUGAAAACGCCAAUGGAUCUGACUAUUCGCACUGGUGCCAUGGCCAGAUUAGAAUGUGCUGCAGAGGGACACCCUGCACCUCAGAUUUCCUGGCAGAAAGAUGGUGGUACUGACUUUCCUGCGGCUCGAGAAAGACGCAUGCACGUCAUGCCCGAGGAUGACGUCUUCUUUAUUGCCAAUGUGAAAAUAGAAGAUAUGGGAAUCUAUAGCUGCAUGGCACAAAAUACAGCAGGAGGUCUCUCAGCAAAUGCUUCCCUAACAGUGUUAGAGACACCCUCAUUUAUUAGACCCCUGGAGGAUAAGACAGUAACCCGAGGUGAAACGGCGGUGUUACAGUGCAUAGCUGGAGGGAGUCCUGCCCCUCGUCUCAACUGGACUAAAGAUGAUGGGCCUUUGCUGGUGACAGAACGACAUUUCUUUGCUGCAGCCAAUCAGCUUCUCAUCAUUGUAGAUGCCGGGCUAGAAGAUGCUGGGAAAUAUACCUGCAUUAUGUCUAACACCCUUGGGACAGAACGUGGCCACAUUUACCUAAAUGUCAUUUCAUCCCCCAACUGUGACUCUUCCCAGAGUAGCAUUGGUCAUGAAGAUGAUGGCUGGACCACAGUUGGCAUUGUCAUCAUUGUUGUGGUCUGCUGUGUUGUUGGCACUUCUUUGAUCUGGGUCAUUGUUAUUUACCACAUGAGAAGGAAAAAUGAAGACUAUAGUAUCACAAACACAGAGGAGCUCAAUCUGCCUGCAGACAUUCCCAGCUACUUGUCUUCCCAAGGAACGCUGUCUGAGCCACAGGAAGGCUACAGCAACUCUGAGGCAGGCAGUCAUCAGCAACUUAUGCCUCCUGCCAAUGGAUAUAUACACAAAGGCACUGAUGGUGGCACUGGUACCCGGGUGAUUUGCUCAGAUUGUUAUGACAAUGCCAACAUCUACUCCAGGACCCGAGAAUACUGUCCAUACACCUAUAUUGCUGAGGAGGACGUUCUUGAUCAGACACUGUCCAGCCUCAUGGUCCAAAUGCCUAAAGAGACAUAUUUAGCACAUCCUCCCCAGGAUACUACUGCCCUAGAGAGCCUGAUAUCAUCAGCCAACAGAGAGCCAUCUGCCUUUCCCACCAACCGUGAAAGGAUAAGUGAGAAGAAACUUCCCUCCACACAGAUGAGCGGUGAAACAUUGCAGCGGCCGGUGUGGAACAUAAACAGAGAACUAGGCCUGCCUCAUCCUCCUUUUUCCCAGCAGCCAGUCCAUGAGUCACCACAACUUCAUCAAAAUGAGGGCCUGGCAGGGAGAGAGCCAGACUGUUCUACUUCUUCCAUGUCCUGCCACAGGUUACAGGAUCAUGCUUUUGAUUUUAGUAGGACUCGGAACAUUCAAGAUGGUAGUGAGGGCACAUGAAACUCACUUGAGGAUGAAAUCUGGGUAGAGACUCAUUAAUUAAUUUUGCAUUUACUACCUCAGAGCUCAGAAGAAACUCCGAUGUCAGCAUUUGCUUUACUCUUUCUUUAUGAUUGCAUCUGACUGCACCAAGGUGGGCCAUGCGUUGUUUGGUCUUAUACCUGAUGAAGAAAUGGCAACAGCUGACAGAAAUGGGUACAGCUCAUCAAAAAUGUGCAGCACUGGCAGAGGGAAGAUACGGGGCAAAUGUGCUUCCUGAUGGUUCCAUGGGGAUGUGCCCUGGUGUGCAUCUGCCUGUCAGGAAGAGUCACAUUGCUGCUUAACAUGCUGGAUUGCCCUAGUCUUCAGAAUGGUCCUGAGAAAACAUCACUACUUUGAUGUUCUACUUUGCCUUCCAAGGAGCAAAAAUAACUUUGGAGCCUUCUGGGAAGUGUGCCUGGGAUUCUUCAGUGGUUUCAGGCAGAUAGUUGAGACUGGGGCUUUGAUAUUCAAGGUCUUUGGCAAGAAUCCCAGGCUUGACCAACUGGUAACCAGGUCAAAGGUUUUUGUAUUCUUGUGAAUUUUUUUUUUGUCCCUAUUGCCCAGGGAUGUCAUUGUAAAUAUAUGUGCAUUUAUAAAUAAUUUUUGUAUUCAUUGACCAUAUGUGUUGGCUGCAGUGUAAAUAUUUUUGAUAUGCCAAAAUUAUAUAUAAUAUCCAGUUAUAAUAUUGACAAGUAGCUUCUCAGAUCACAGAUUUUAAAUAACUCGAUUUAGUGAGAUCUAAAAAUUUUAUUUAAAGUAUAAAAAGGGUGGCUCACACCUGUAAUCCCAGCAUUUUGAGAGGCUAAGGUGGGAGGAUUGCUUGAGGCCAGGAAUUUGAGACCAGGCUGGGCAACAUGGUGAGACCCUGUCUCUGC